AAAGUCCCUGCCCUCGGAGCUUGGGGAAGCUGCAGCCCAUCCCCCUGCAGGCCGACGAAACAGCCUCACGGCCAGCGAUUCUGACGGCAACUUCCGGAAAGCAAUGUGGUCCGACCCUUCCAUUCCAGUUCCAGUGAGGCAUAUUCAGUUUAACCCAGGGAAAGCUCAUAGAACCGACAAUCUGCCCAGGACUAAAGCCUCUGAACACCAGACAGAGAUAAGAAAAGCUAAUCCUCCACAUUCAGAGAUGGCAAACUCCACAGAAGCACAGAAGCCCCAAAAUACCAAGAAAAAUAAGAAGAAAGGGGCGACUUUGGACACAUUCUAUGGAGCCAAAAUACAAAAUACAGAGCAGAUAGAAGAUAAUAUACAAGAAAAUGCUCCAAAACCUUCCAAAGGAAAUGGAAACUCUCCACAAACCUAUGAAGAAUUUGAAUCAGAAAUGACCAAAAAGAUGGAAGCCUUCUGGGAGGAAAAGUUGGAAAUAAUGCAAAAGAAAUUCACGCAUCUACAAAACCGGUAUGAUGAAACUGAAAAGGAAAACCAUGCUUUAAAGGCCAGAAUCAGGCAGCUGGAAGACAACGAUCAUGUAAAAGAGCAAGAAUUAAUAAAGCAAAGCCAAAAUACCAAGAAAUUAGAAGAGAACAUAAAAUAUCUCACCGACAAGGUGAUAGAUCUGGAAAAUAGAGGGAGAAGGGAUAAUUUAAGAAUAAUUGGACUCCCAGAAAAGCCAGAAAUAAACACCAAACUGGACAUGGUGAUACAAGAUAUAAUCAAAGAAAAUUGCCCAGAGAUUCUAGAACAAGGGGGCAAUACAGCCACUGACAGAGCUCACAGAACACCUUCUACACUAAACCCCCAAAAGACAACUCCCAGGAAUGUAAUUGCCAAAUUCCAAAGCUAUCAAACAAAAGGAAAAAUCCUACAGGAAGCCAGAAAAAGACAAUUUAGAUAUAAAGGAAUGCCAAUGGGUCACACAAGACCUUGCAAGUUCUACUCUGAAUGAUCGUAAGGCAUGGAACAUGAUCUUCAGAAAGGCAAGAGAGCUGGGUCUCCAACCAAGAAUCAGCUACCCAGCAAAACUGACUAUAUACUUCCAAGGGAAAGUAUGGGCAUUCAACAAAAUAGAAGACUUCCAACUUUUUGCAAAGAAAAGACCAGAGCUCUGUGGAAAGUUUGAUACCGAAAAUCAAAGAGCAGGGAAUACCCUGAAAGUAAAUAUUAAGGA
Molecule: long non-coding RNA, 1228 nt
Filed under: Monodelphis domestica (gray short-tailed opossum)
Lineage: Eukaryota; Metazoa; Chordata; Mammalia; Didelphimorphia; Didelphidae
Description: lncRNA (ENSMODG00000048732.1)
Source: RNAcentral